RNAcentral lists this ribosomal RNA (1068 nucleotides) under Triticum aestivum (bread wheat). Its description in RNAcentral is "partial small subunit ribosomal RNA". The record is from RNAcentral. Lineage: Eukaryota; Viridiplantae; Streptophyta; Magnoliopsida; Poales; Poaceae.
AUGCUGCUCAGGUCAUCCUCAUCUGCGUUCCUGCUAAACGGCGAUCCUGGAAUUCCUCUGAUCUACCGGCGUGGGCUGCGGCAAGGAGACCCCUUGUCCCCGUUGUUGUUUAUCCUAGCCAUCGACAUCCUCCACCACCUCAUAACGAAAGCUGCUGAAGAUGGCAUUCUUGCCCCCCUGCCUGGAAGAGAGCUGAAACUGCGCACCAGCAUGUACCCUGAUGACGCAGUCAUUUUUGCAAACCCAGUUCGAGAAGAGUUCGACAAGCUGCUUGACAUCAUCACUCGCUUUGGGGAGGCUUCAGGUCUGCACCUCAAUAUCAGCAAGUGCACCGUCACGCCCAUCAGAUGUGAUCACAUUAACCUCCACGAGGUUCUGCAUGCUUUUGGCGGGCAGAUAGUGGCCUUCCCAAUAAGAUAUUUGGGAUUGCCAAUAAGCCUCGGAAGAGCCAGACUGGUUCAUUUUCAGUUCAUCUUGGACCGCAUCCGAGCUCGCCUGGCUGGCUGGAAAGGGAAGCUGAUGCAUAUCGCAGGGAGAAGAGUGCUUGUUAGAAGCGUCCUAUCUGCAAUCCCAACAUUUGCACUCUCUGUUCUUCGGCCGCCCAAGCUUCUUUUCAAAGAGAUUGAUAAAGCUCGCCGAAAGUUUCUUUGGACGCAAGAGGAUGAGCUCAGCGGCGGCAAAUGCAAGGUUGCCUGGAAGCACAUCUGCACACCGACUGAGUAUGGAGGCCUUGGCAUCCACAACCUGCAGAAAUUCUCCUGCGCCUUGCGGCUUCGAUGGUUGUGGUUGUCAUGGCAAAAUGAAGACAGACCUUGGAAGGGAUCGGAACUACCAUGUGACAAAGAAGACAAGGCCAUGUUCGACAAUGCAACCACUGUGAUCCUCGGAAACGGCAGGACGGCUUCCUUCUGGCAAUCCCCAUGGAUCACCUCUCUAAACCUUGCCAUUCUGUUCCCGGAGCUGUUCAAGCGAUCACGAGGUAAAAACAGACCUGGUUCACAGCUUCAUCAUCCUCUGGAGAGCUCUACGGGCUCAAGCGGUGUUGCUGCAACCCCAGGUGGAAGAUAA